AGAGUUUGAUCAUGGCUCAGGAUGAACGCUAGCGACAGGCCUAACACAUGCAAGUCGAGGGGUAACAGAAUUUUAGCUUGCUAAAAUUGCUGACGACCGGCGCACGGGUGAGUAACGCGUAUGCAACCUACCUCUUACAGAGGAAUAGCCCGAAGAAAUUCGGAUUAAUGCCUCAUGGUUCUGUUUUCUCGCAUGGGAAGAUAGAUAAAGUUCCGGCGGUAAGAGAUGGGCAUGCGUUUCAUUAGUUAGUUGGUAGGGUAACGGCCUACCAAGGCAACGAUGAAUAGGGGUUCUGAGAGGAUAGUCCCCCACACUGAUACUGAGACACGGACCAGACUCCUACGGGAGGCAGCAGUGAGGAAUAUUGGUCAAUGGGCGAAAGCCUGAACCAGCCAUGUCGCGUGCAGGAAGACGGCCCUAUGGGUUGUAAACUGCUUUUCUAUAGGAAGAAUGUCAUCUACGUGUAGAUGUUUGCCUGUACUAUAGGAAUAAGCAUCGGCUAACUCCGUGCCAGCAGCCGCGGUAAUACGGAGGAUGCGAGCGUUAUCCGGAUUCAUUGGGUUUAAAGGGUGCGUAGGCGGUCUAUUAAGUCAGUGGUGAAAUUUUGUGGCUCAACCAUAAGCGUGCCAUUGAUACUGAUAGACUUGAGUGCAGACGAGGAAGGCGGAAUGUGUUAUGUAGCGGUGAAAUGCAUAGAUAUAACACAGAACACCGAUUGCGAAGGCAGCUUUCCAGACUGUAACUGACGCUGAUGCACGAAAGCGUGGGUAGCGAACAGGAUUAGAUACCCUGGUAGUCCACGCCGUAAACGAUGAUCACUGGUUGUAGGCGAUACACCGUCUGUGACUGAGCGAAAGUAUUAAGUGAUCCACCUGGGGAGUACGUCGGCAACGAUGAAACUCAAAGGAAUUGACGGGGGCCCGCACAAGCGGAGGAACAUGUGGUUUAAUUCGAUGAUACGCGAGGAACCUUACCUGGACUUAAAUGUAGAUUGCAUAGAUUAGAGAUAGUCUUUUUCUUCGGAACUAUUUACAAGGUGCUGCAUGGUUGUCGUCAGCUCGUGCCGUGAGGUGUCGGGUUAAGUCCCAUAACGAGCGCAACCCCUAUCGUUAGUUGCUAACAGGUAAUGCUGAGGACUCUAGCGAGACUGCCACCGUAAGGUGCGAGGAAGGUGGGGAUGACGUCAAAUCAGCACGGCCCUUACGUCCAGGGCUACACACGUGUUACAAUGGCAGGUACAAAGGGCAGCUACACAGUGAUGUGAUGCUAAUCUCUAAAGCCUGUCACAGUUCGGAUUGGAGUCUGCAACUCGACUCCAUGAAGCUGGAUUCGCUAGUAAUCGCGCAUCAGCCAUGGCGCGGUGAAUACGUUCCCGGGCCUUGUACACACCGCCCGUCAAGCCAUGGAAGCUGGGGGUACCUAAAGUCCGUAACCGCAAGGAUCGGCCUAGGGUAAAACUGGUAACUGGGGCUAAGUCGUAACAAGGUAACCGUAAAGGGCGAAU
This 1504-nucleotide ribosomal RNA is filed under the name uncultured Bacteroidota bacterium. RNAcentral's name for it is "bacterial SSU rRNA". It matches the Rfam family "Bacterial small subunit ribosomal RNA". Lineage: Bacteria; Pseudomonadati; Bacteroidota. The record is from RNAcentral.